This 1277-nucleotide long non-coding RNA is filed under the name Homo sapiens (human). RNAcentral describes it as "non-protein coding LINC00609:10". The record is from RNAcentral. Lineage: Eukaryota; Metazoa; Chordata; Mammalia; Primates; Hominidae.
AGAGAAGGUCCUGCUGUCUAUGGGCAAGCCUGAGCACAGAGGCUGCUCUGCUGGUGGGGGUGGGGUCACUUCUCUCAGCCCCAGACUGUCAGCUCUCAGGAUUAUCCACCUCGGCUCCUGGUUGCAGCAACUGCUGUGGCAGUAUGUGGAGCGAGCACCUCUGGCUCCCAACUUCUCCUGACUGAGCUGGCCACUCGCUUCCUUCUCCUCUGUGCCUCAGGCGCUUGCUGAGACUUCUCUGUUGGACUCUAGUGCUCUCUCCUGGAUGUUCUAUUCGAGCUCUGCCGCACUAAGCUCUCUACAUGGCCGAGGCACCAGACCAGAAUGCGCCCUUUCGACAGGCAGAGAGAGCCAAAGGGGAAAAGAGCUGAGUCAAGGCUGCCAAGUUCCUGCUUCCAGCCCUACCAGCCGGUCACUCGCGCCUUGCAAUGAGGAAACCAGGAGUCCUAUCUAGAGCCUUUCCAUAGUUGUGGGAAAGAAGAUGGGUAAAGUUAUUGUUAAUCUACAGAGGAAGGAAUGAUGCCAAGUUUUUCAAGGCUUCCAGAGUCACAGGAGGAGUCACUUGGUAAAUCCAGGAGCAGAAACCAGGUUAAGUGACUAGCCUAAGGUAAGAGCCAGAUUUGGAGCUUGGAAUCUGAUAGCCCUUAGGGUGCUUUAUUCCCUGAGCCAAUCCACACUUCUACCUCAGUAAAGGAAUCAACUGAGGGCUCAGCUUUUCCUCUGCAAGAAACCUGCUCUCUGGGACAUGUUCGCUUCCUGGAUGUUCUGACUAAUUUAAACUAUGGUUAAUUGAAGACUGAAAUAUUCGGGAAACUAUGACAGGAACAAUUUGCUACGGACAGUUUCCACCUGUACUCUCAAGACUUAGAAGCCAUAUGGAUAGAAUGAAAUAGGAUCCCAUCAUUCUCGGCCCAUCUCGCCCAUCUCAAGUCAUUUUUGCCCUCUCCCCACGUGCAGUCAGAAGACUGGAAGUGGAGGUGUGAGCAGUAGAUAGAGCAGUUUAUAAGACAAUGUUAAGACCAUGAUGAAAAGACAUUAGAGGAAGCAGGAAAAAAGAAUAUGCGACACUUAGAACAGGAAUUGGUGGUGUCUUGGAAUAUCUGCUUCAGGACGAUAAUGAAACUAAUGAUUUAGGGCAGUAGAAGAAGCCGUGGGAGGAACUUUCACAUUUGGCGAGGAGUGACCACUAAUUGGUCCAGAAGUGGACAUCUGAUAGAGAGAUUAGCCAAUGAGCAGCAAGAGGAGAAGACAGUGUAGAAGCCAAGAGAAGAAGAACG